RNAcentral lists this ribosomal RNA (253 nucleotides) under uncultured bacterium. RNAcentral describes it as "partial 16S ribosomal RNA". It matches the Rfam family "Bacterial small subunit ribosomal RNA", at positions 524 to 776 of the family's 1533-position model. The record is from RNAcentral.
UACGUAGGGUGCAAGCGUUGUCCGGAAUUAUUGGGCGUAAAGAGCUCGUAGGCGGUCUGUCGCGUCUGCUGUGAAAACUCAGGGCUUAACCCUGAGCUUGCAGUGGGUACGGGCAGACUAGAGUGCGGUAGGGGAGACUGGAAUUCCUGGUGUAGCGGUGAAAUGCGCAGAUAUCAGGAGGAACACCGGUGGCGAAGGCUGGUCUCUGGGACGGUACUGACGCUGAGACGCGAAAGCGUGGGGAGCGAACAGG